CUUUGUGUUUUUGAGGAAUGAUGCUUUAGGAAGCCAAAUUGCAGUGAGCAUAAAGUACAUCCCUUGUUGUUCAAAUGAGACACUAGCUGAUCACAGACGACCUUUUCAGCAAUUUAAGAGGCUACUAAUGGGUCUGUAAUUUGAUAGGCUGCUUCUGUGACCUGAUUUAAAAACAGGAGUCACUCCGUACAAUAGAUUUCAGUAUAAUACGCUGCCUGGCCAACAAAACAGUUACCAGCUGGAUUUAAUUAAACAAAUAGGUAAGAGUCUUCUAUUGGAUAAUUACUGCAGUGAUGAAUAUGUUUCAGCUGCAACAACUUAUUUAACCCUAGCUGAUGCAGUGAGGAGCUUCUCAUUUCUUAAACAACCAUGUUGGAAGACAUAUCCUGUGGUCAUGGAAAAGAUGAUAAUCUGUCUCAGAAUGGUCAAAUUAUUGGCCUGCAUCAAGCAAAGAAAACAACUGAGGAGAUUUCUGAAGCUACUAUAAUCAGGUUAAGAACCGUCCAAUGCAUUAUUAAAACCUGGAAGUAUAGUGGUGAACCAUCAUCUUCCAGGAACAAAUGUGGUCGGUCAUGUGGUCUGAUGAGUCCAGAUUUACCCUGUUCCAAAGUGAUGGGGGCAUCAGGGUAAGAAGAGAGGCGGAUGAAGUGAUGCACUCAUCAUGGCUAGUGCCUACAAGACUGUGGGGGUUAGGGUUAUGAUCUAGGGUUGGUCAGGUUCAGCAACAUUAUGUUCCCAAAGAAUGAGGUCAGCUGACUACCUGAAUAUACUAAAUGACCAGGUCUUUCCAUCAAUAGAGUUUUUCUUCCCUGAUGACAUGGGCAUAUUCUGAGAUGACAAUGCCAGGAUUCAUGGGGCUCACAUUGAGAAUGAGUGGUUCAGGGAACGUGAGACAUCAUUUUCACACAUGGAUUGGCCUCCACAGAUUCCAGACCUCCAGACUUUGCACAGCGGUCUGACUCUCUCAUCAUCAAUAUAAGAUCUUGGUGAAAAAUGAAUGCGUCUCUGUACAGAAAUAAAUGCUGACAUUGCAGAAGCUUAUCACAACAAUGCCACAGCAAAGGAGUGCCAUUCUCAUAGCUAAAGGCAGUCCAACAAAAUAUUAGUGUGCAACUUUUUUUUUUUUUUGGCCAGGAAGUAUAUGUUGUCAUAAUUAACAUCAGAAAAUGAGGAGAAGAGAACUGUAAAAUGAAGCAAUAUUCCAUCACAGAGUAUAAACACUGAGAAAGUUUUCAUCAAAAUGAAAUGAAACCCAGGAUGGAUGAAGCAGAUUAUCACUUUAAGCACCCAGAGGCUUAGUGCCACUAUUAUCCUCCUCUGGUGGGAUUUUGAGUGUGAAUUAUGUAACUGUAAUCCUUCAACAAAAAUCAGUUCGUGGCUGUUUUGUCCAGUGGCUUUUUCCCACUGCUCUCCUCUGUCCAGGACUCAGCUUCAAGAUGACAUGCUUGCCUCCUACGCACUACAACCAUAACCACUUAUUGAACCAACUGUAGGCAAGUGGAGUUGCUGUGACGGCAACUGAUUGAUUGACAGGUGUUGAGAUGAUGCUUGAGCUCUGAUGAGCAGCAACAGGGAGUACAAGAAGUUCAUUACCACCAUGCAAGCCCGACUUGAACAGCCCCCCUCAACAAGAGAGAGAUGAUCCCACCACUAUGCAAACUGGAAACCAACAAGCCCUGCAUGCAGUGGUGCUUGAUUACAGGAAUUAGAGCUGCAGGGAUCAGCUCACCGGUGAACAAUCACCAUGUGCCAUAAAAGAGCGGUUCAUUCCUCCACACCCUGCCCGACAUAGAUCCUGUUGGUCCUUGACCUGUCUCCUACCUGCCUUCCCCAAACCACUACCAACUGACCACCCUACAUUGGUGACACACUCACUGCCCUGAUCCUCCCCACAGCCAGCCUUCACUGCCGCUGAACCCCUACCUAUCUCCUGUCUGCUUUUCCCGACCCUGCCUGCCCUUUUUGUUAUUUCAUUGUCCUGUGAGUAUCCUUGUUUCGUUAGUCUAGCUUUAGUUUAUCCAUAUUAGAUUUCCAUGGUUUCAUCUUCUGUUAGUGUUGUUUCUAGGUUUUUUGAAUGACGUUUGGCUAGUUUUAUUUCUACCACUCUCCCUCAGUUAUCCCCCGCUUGUGUUUGUAAUUUCCCCAUUGAAUUUUGUUUCUGCCCGUU
This is a long non-coding RNA of Amphiprion ocellaris (clown anemonefish), 2167 nucleotides long. The record is from Ensembl. NCBI's taxonomy places the organism in Eukaryota, Metazoa, Chordata, Actinopteri, Pomacentridae.